GUUGUGCGGAAGCGUCAACCAACUGCGAGUGAAAAAUAACAACAGGUAGGAGAAAAAUAGAACAAAAUAAUCAACAAGAACAACACCAAGAUUUAUACUGGUUCGGCAAUUGCCUACAUCCAGUUUGGAGACGACGGAGUAUUCCACUAUAAUCAAUGACAGAAUACAAUAGUGUUUAACCACUCAGAAAACUCAAGCCCCAAAUAUACCCAAGCUCACACACUCAAGAAUAUAAAGGGGAUACAAAUUGAGUACAAUUUAGAGAGGGAAAAAUAACCAACAAUAGCAACAAAAGCUUAGUUGCCCAAACUAUUAUUUUUCUCUCUCCCAACUUCUCUCUUCUCUCAUCAACUCUCGAUGCUUUCCGCUCUACAUUUUUUCCAAAUGCAUGUUCCCUUUUAUAAGCCAAACAUUUGCUCUUCAACCACCCAACAGCAAAAGCAAAACACACAAGUCAAAAGGUAAAAGUAAGCCAUCAAUGCUAGCCAUUAAUUUGUCUCCAAUUUGUCUGCUAGCCGAAAGCACCGCAAGAUGUCUGCCAGCCGAAAGCAGUUUUUCUUUUGACUAAUUUUUUGAGCCAAUCAUCAACAAUCUCCACCUUGGCUCAAAACCUUGAAGCAACACUCUCAAUGGUCGUCUCCCAAUCCCCCAUGGGGCAAUCAACAAACUUUACAAAUGCCAAUUAAGUCUAAGCAAUGCUUAAACUUGAGCAACGAAACUGGCUUUGUCAACAUAUCCGCAGGAUUCUCAGCGGUCCCAAUCUUCUGAAGAAGAAUAUUUCCCUCGUCAAUAAUCUCACGAACAAAAUGGAACCUCACGUCAAUGUGUUUUGUACGUGCAUGAUGAACUUGAUUCUUUGCUAAAUAAAUAGCACUCUGACUGUCACAAUGAACAUCCACAUGGUCCUGUUCAAUCCCCAAGUCAUCAAGCAAUCCUUGAAGCCAGAUGGCUUCCUUUAUAGCUUCUGUUACCGCCAUGUAUUCAGCCUCCGUAGUCGACAGAGCAACUGUAGAUUGCAGAAUCGACCUCCAACUCACUGGACCUCCAGCAAUAGUGAAUACAAAACCUGUAGUGGACCUACGCUUGUCCAAAUCACCUGCGUAAUCAGAAUCCACAUAUCCAACAACACAUUGACCAGUAACUUUAUCAUGCUGAAACAAUAAACCAACAUCCACAGUACCCAGAAUAUACCGUAGAAUCCAUUUCACAGCUUGCCAAUGCUCUUUUCCUGGAUUAUGCAUAUAUCUACUGACAAUACUAACAGCUUGUGAAAUAUCAGGCCUCGUACACACCAUAGCAUACAUCAAACUACCAACAGCACUUGCAUAUGGAAUUUGAGCCAUGUAAUGACUCUCUUCACCAGUUUUAGGAGACAUAGAAGCACUAAGUUUGAAAUGAGGGGCAAGAGGUGUACUAACCGGUUUUGAAUUUUCAUUCAUCCCGAAACGCUGUAGUACCUUCUUUAAAUACUGCUUUUGACACAGACUAAUCUUGCCCUUCGCUCUAUCUCUUUCAAUUUCCAUACCCAGUAUCUUCCGAGCUUCUCCUAAGUCCUUCAUCUCAAAUUCAUUACUCAGUUGAGUCUUCAACCUUUCAAUCUCCACUUUGCUUUUACAUGCUAUAAGCAUAUCAUCAACAUAUAAAAGCAGAUAGAUGAAGGUUCCAUCUUGUAGCUUGCGAAAGUAUACACAAUGGUCAUAAUGAUUUCUUGUGUACUUCUGCCCGAUCAUAAACCGAUCAAAUCGCUUAUACCAUUGUCUUGGAGACUGCUUCAAGCCGUACAAUGAUUUUUGCAAUUUGCAAACCCAAUUUUCUUUUCCAGCAACCUUAAAACCUUCUGGCUGAGACAUAUAAAUUUCUUCCUCCAAAUCACCAUGUAAGAAUGCAGUCUUGACAUCAAGUUGAGCCAACUCAAGGUCAAACUGCGCAACCAAAGCCAACAAAAUACGAAUAGAGGAAUGUUUUACUACAGGAGAAAAUACCUCAUUGUAGUCAAUGCCUUCCUUCUGAGCAUAUCCUUUAGCUACUAAUCUGGCUUUGAAUCUCACAUUGUCUUUUCCCAAAGAUUCCAUCUUCUUGGCAUAAACUCAUUUGCAACCAAUUGCUUUCUUCCCCUUUGGUAACUGAACCAGCUCCCAAGUCUCAUUUUUAUGAAGAGACUUCAUCUCCUCAUCCAUAGAUUUCUUCCACUCCACGCUCUCUGAACUUCUGACAGCUUCUUUGUAGGCGGAUGGAAUAUCAUCUUCAAUAACGGGAAGUGCAUAUGCCACAAUAUCAGUAAAUCGAACAGGCUUUCGAAUCUCCCUUCUCGAUCUUCUGAUUGCAAUAGAAUCUUGUUGCUGUGGAGGCUCUUGGGUAGGUGCCUCCUCUUCAUCAUCCUCGUCCUCUUCAUCAGAAUCAACUGUAGGACUAGUGUCUGUAGUAUCAGACCUUACUGGAACAACUGGAGUUUUCAGUAACUCCACCUGCUUUGAACUACUCAUGGUCUUAGUUGCUUCAAUUUCACCUUCAUGCUUGUUCUGAUUUACCAUAGCAGCCUCAUCAAAAGUCACAUCUCUGCUUACAACAAAUUUCUUCUCAUCUGGACACCAAAGUCGGUAUCCCUUCACGCCAGUGCUAAAUCCCAUAAAUAGAGCUUUCUUUGCUCUUGGAUCUAACUUGCUCUCCCUGACAUGAUAGUAAGCAGGACAACCAAAUAUGUGUAAAUACUUGUAAUCAGUACAAGGUUUACCAGACCAUACCUCCAUGGGCGUUUUGCCCUCAUUCGCAGCAGCAGGCAACCGAUUAAUGAGAUAGCUUGCAUAAGUAAUCGCCUCAGCCCAAAACGCCUUGCCUAAACCAGCAUUAGACAACAUACACCGAACUUUCUCAAGCAAAGUACGGUUCAUGCGUUCUGCCACCCCAUUCUGUUGCGGUGUCUCCCUAACCGUGAAGUGCCUCACAAUACCCUCAUCUUGACAAACUUUCAAGAAGGGAUCAGACUUAUAUUCACCACCAUUGUCUGAUCUGAGAGUCUUGAUCUUUCGACCGCUUUGCGUUUCAAUCAUCUUUUUCCACUUCAGGAAUAUCCUCAAGACUUCAUCUUUACGCUUCAUGGUGUACACCCAUAUUCUUCUAGAGAAGUCAUCAACAAAGGAGACAAAAUAAUGGCUACCUCCCCAAGAUGCAUUAUUGGAGGGUCCCCAAACAUCAGUGUGAACAUAAUCUAGAAUGCCUUUAGUGUGGUGAAUAGCAGUGCCAAAUUUCACUCUAGUUUGCUUACCCAGCACACAGUGUUCACAGAAUUCCAAUUUGCAUGCCUUUGCACCUUUCAAUAAGCCUUGCUUCACCAAUCCUUGCAACGCUUUUUCACCAGCAUGCCCGAGACGCAUAUGUCAUAACCUUGUGGUGUCUGUGCUAUCUGCGUCAGCAGCUUCGGUGACAGCUGCUCCACCAAUAACUGUACUACCCUGCAAGAAAUACAAGUUAUUUCGUCUUGUACCUUUCAUCACCACCAGUGCCCCAUGCACAGCUUUAAGAACUCCACCCUCCAUGGUGAUCUUGAGACCCUUGGAUUCCAAAGCGCCCAAUGAGAUGAGAUUCUUCUUCAUAUCCGGAACAUACCGAACAUCACUCAAUUCUCUGACUGUUCCAUCAUGCAUCUUCAAACAGAUUUUGCCUAUCCCUUGUGUUUUGCAGGCAUUAUUAUUGCCCAUCAAAACAACUCCACCAUCCAGCUCCUCGAAGCUAGAAAACCAUUCCCGAAUAGGACACAUAUGAUAGGUGCAACCUGAAUCCAAAAUCCACUCAGUUGAGUGACCAUCAGCAGAUGAACUAGCCAAAGCAAACUCGAAAUCUUCAUCUCCAGAUUUUGCAACAUUUGCUUCAGAACCCGCUUUCUCCUUCUCCUUGUUCUUCAAUUUGGGACAGUCUUUCUUCCAAUGACCCUUUUGGCGACAAAAGGCACAUUCAUCUUUAGCAAGAAACUUCCCUCGUGACUUUGAACGAGAUUUUCCCCGCUUCCCAGAUUUUCUUUCCUCUGUUCGACCCCUUGCAACAAGUGCCUCGGUUUGUGAAUUUUGAGUCUUUUGUUCCUUCUUUCGACACUCAUGAUUCACCAAUGCCGCAGACACCUCAUCCAGUUUCACCUCGGAUUUUCCAUACAACAAAGUAGUUGUCAAAUGAUCAUAAUCAUCAGGCAAUGAAUUUAACAAACAUAGUGCCUUAUCCUCGUCAGGAAUUAUCACAUCAAGAUUUGCUAAAUCAGCAAGUAUUUUAUUAUAAUCAUUGAGGUGUUCAUGCAUAGAAAUACCUGAGCGAUAUUGAAAUCGGAAGAGUCGUUUCUUCAAGAAGAGCCGAUUUUCUGUGCUCUUGGUCAUAUACUUCUCCUCCAAUUUCAUCCAUAACUUCUUAGCAGAAGUUUCCUUCAUAUACGGGUAUUUCAACUCCUUAUCAAGGAACGAUCGAAUAGUGGCACAAGCAUGGAGAUUAAUUCGAGUCCACUGCUUGUCAUCAAUAUCUUCUGGUUUAUCCUCCAGAACCAUAUCCAACUCUUGUUGAUACAACACAUCCAUAACUUCACAUUGCCACAUACCAAAAUUAUUGGAGCCAUUAAAUUUAUCAACCUCUAACCUUGUACUGGCAAUUGGAUGUCUAUUGGAUGUAGGUGCCGACGAAGACGAUGUCGAUUCCUUUUCCUUCAAAAUUUCAACUUUUUCUCCAGCCAUCAAAUCUGCCCGGCACUAUUCACUGCUACUGUAGAACAGCACUAUUCACGGGGGGGCACUGUAGCACCGACACUAUUCACGUGCACUAUUCACCCGUCACUGUAGCACCGACAGAUUUUUCACUCCCACGAAACCCCAGUCGAAAAACUGGAGCUCUGAUACCACUUGUUGUGCAGAAGCGUCAACCAACUGCGAGUGAAAAAUAACAACAGGCAGGAGAAAAAUAGAACAAAAUAAUCAACAAGAACAACACCAAGAUUUAUACUGGUUCGGCAAUUGCCUACAUCCAGUUUGGAGACGACGGAGUAUUCCACUAUAAUCAAUGAGAGAAUACAAUAGUGUUUAACCACUCAGAAAACCCAAGCCCCAAAUAUACCCAAGCUCACACACUCAAGAAUAUAAAGGGGAUACAAAUUGAGUACAAUUUAGAGAGGGAAAAAUAACCAACAAUAGCAACAAAAGCUUAGUUGCCCAAACUAUUAUUUUUCUCUCUCCCAACUUCUCUCUUCUCUCAUCAACUCUCGAUGCUUUCCGCUCUACAUUUUUCCCAAAUGCAUGUUCCCUUUUAUAAGCCAAACAUUUGCUCUUCAACCACCCAACGGCAAAAGCAAAACACACAAGUCAAAAGGUAAAAGUAAGCCAUCAAUGCU
This 5356-nucleotide long non-coding RNA is filed under the name Prunus persica (peach). RNAcentral describes it as "long non-coding RNA (PPER_LNC004120)". Lineage: Eukaryota; Viridiplantae; Streptophyta; Magnoliopsida; Rosales; Rosaceae. The record is from RNAcentral.